RNAcentral lists this unclassified non-coding RNA (311 nucleotides) under plant metagenome. Its description in RNAcentral is "partial contains 5.8S ribosomal RNA, internal transcribed spacer 2, and large subunit ribosomal RNA". The stretch from base 1 to 103 matches the Rfam family "5.8S ribosomal RNA", at positions 51 to 154 of the family's 154-position model. The record is from RNAcentral.
AAAUGCGAGAGGUAAUGUGAAUUGCAAAUUCAGUGAAUCAUCGAGUCUUUGAACGCACAUUGCGCCCCCUGGUAUUCCGGGGGGCAUGCCUGUCCGAGCGUCAUUUCUGCCCUCAAGCACGGCUUGUGUGUUGGGCCCCGUCCUCCGAUCCCGGGGGACGGGCCCGAAAGGCAGCGGCGGCACCGCGUCCGGUCCUCGAGCGUAUGGGGCUUUGUCACCCGCUCUGUAGGCCCGGCCGGCGCUUGCCGAUCAACCCAAAUUUUUAUCCAGGUUGACCUCGGAUCAGGUAGGGAUACCCGCUGAACUUAAGC